Hibiscus syriacus is the source of this 95-nucleotide small nucleolar RNA. The record is from RefSeq and is a predicted model, not a curated record. Lineage: Eukaryota; Viridiplantae; Streptophyta; Magnoliopsida; Malvales; Malvaceae.
CGGCGAUGAUUAAGUUUAGUUUUAUCCGCGCUUCUGAGAGCCAAUCAGUGAAGCAUAUUUACGGUAAAAAUGGUUAAAAUUCUUUAUAUGAGCCA